RNAcentral lists this ribosomal RNA (455 nucleotides) under uncultured anaerobic ammonium-oxidizing bacterium. RNAcentral describes it as "bacterial SSU rRNA". It matches the Rfam family "Bacterial small subunit ribosomal RNA", at positions 381 to 826 of the family's 1533-position model. The record is from RNAcentral.
GGGUGACGAAGCGACGCCGCGUGGGUGAGGAAGGCCUUCGGGUUGUAAAGCCCUGUCAGGAGUUAAGAAAUGUAGAUACGCUAAUAUCGUAUCUAUUUGACAAAGGCUCCAAAGGAAGCCACGGCUAGCUCUGUGCCAGCAGCCGCGGUAAUACAGAGGUGGCAAGCGCUGUUCGGAAUUAUUGGGCGUAAAGAGCACGUAGGUGGAUUUGUUAGUCAGAUGUGAAAGCCUUCUGUUCAACGGAAGAAUUGCAUCUGAAACUACAAACCUUGAGUAUAGGAGGGGAGAGUGGAACUUCUGGUGGAGCGGUGAAAUGCGUAGACAUCAGAAGGAACGCCGGCGGCGAAAGCGACUCUCUGGCCUAUAACUGACACUGAGUGUGCGAAAGCUAGGGGAGCAAACGGGAUUAGAUACCCCGGUAGUCCUAGCCGUAAACGAUGGGCACUAAGUAGAGG